This 499-nucleotide ribosomal RNA is filed under the name uncultured bacterium. RNAcentral's name for it is "bacterial SSU rRNA". It matches the Rfam family "Bacterial small subunit ribosomal RNA", at positions 28 to 511 of the family's 1533-position model. The record is from RNAcentral.
GACGAACGCUGGCGGCGUGCCUAACACAUGCAAGUCGAACGGAGAUAUGCGAACGAGGCCUUCGGGCGGAGAUUGCAUAUUUUAGUGGCGGACGGGCGAGUAACGCGUGAGCAACCUGCCCUUCAGAGGGGGAUAACGGCUGGAAACGGCCGCUAAUACCGCAUGACAUAUACACAAGGCAUCUUGAGUAUAUCAAAGGAGGAAUCCGCUGAAAGGAUGGGCUCGCGUCCGAUUAGCUGGUUGGUGAGGUAACGGCUCACCAAGGCGACGAUCGGUAGCCGAACUGAGAGGUUGAUCGGCCGCAUUGGGACUGAGACACGGCCCAGACUCCUACGGGAGGCAGCAGUGGGGGGAUAUUGCACAAUGGAGGAAACUCUGAUGCAGCGACGCCGCGUGGGGAAGAAGGCUUUCGGAUUGUAAAACCUCCAGUAGUUCAGGGAAGAAAGCAAGUAGAACGGUACCUAGAAGAAGUAAGACUCCGGCUAACCUAACGUGCACG